CUCCCUCGCCCGGGGCAGGCUGCCGCCUCCCCGCCGGGCUGGCAGCGCGGUGGGGGCAGCGCCGGCCCCAGCUCGCCCCGUGGGGCUGGCGGCGCCCUCGUCGGGGGCGAAGCGGCCAGAAGGGAAAAUUACCCAGGUUGGAAAAUCACAAGAGUUAAAUAAACAAAGGAAAUGAAGAAAGUCACAGAAGACAUCACUGAACUACUGCGGUGAUGGCUUAUAAACACUCCAUAUCCUUUUUGUGUGGAAAUAAUAUUGCUGCUUUGCGUUUGGAAGGGUUCUCCUAAGCCAUUUGGCUGAAAAUCAAGGACAAUGAAAGAAGAAUAAUAUCAGGAUGAUCUCCGUGAGGGUUAUCUACACUGUGGUUCUCAGAAAAAAAUUAAUCCAAAUUGACUAGUUUUAGAUUUUUAAAAUGGAUCAUUAAACCAAGCUAAGCUCCUGUGUUGACUCUCUUAUUCAGAACUAAGGUUUUCCCAGUAAAUUGUUGUUCAUUGGAAAAAAAAAGAAAAAUACAUCCCAUUUAAUUCUGAAUGUCAACACACAGAAAUUUAAAACAGUUUAACAAAACCACUCUGAAAGUUGAUUCAGAUUAAUAUUUAAUCAUCCAGCAUUCCUGUCGCCUGGAGGCUUAUGAGCAUGGGAAACUUAAUGUGCUGUAAAGUAGCUUUUAAAUUUUCAUGGAAGGAGAAUACGCCAUUUUCAGGGAAGAGUAAACUACCGCUAGGAGUGGCCUACAGAAAUAGUGUACGAAAGACGCAUCCCAUAGUUUUUUGUUUGAUGGUGCGCAUUGAGAAGGAAUUUUUGCUGAACUGUUCACAAAGAUCCUGCCAGGUUAUUUUUAAAUGGGGAAGUGGCAGCUCAUUUAUAGCCGAAGAGCAUGCCUGAAAUGUUCAAAUGAGUUCCAGCUGAGACAGCUUUGGGUACAGUGUGAAAACAGGGAGUUUGGUUGAAGAAGGUCAUCCUACAGCAGGACAUCUCUCCUUCUAGCUGUCUUCAGUAAAACCAAGGUGACAGAUGAAAUGUCACCAACAGCCUUUGCACUUUUCCUUUUAAUUAAUGGCUCUUUGAGUGAAUCAGCAGACAUGUAAGACUCAUCUUUAUUAUGACUAAUUUGCUAUUAAAUCCUAUGUCACUAUUUUAGUUCAGUGGUGCUAUUGCUUCUUUACAGCUCACGUUACAAAACACCCUUUCAAAGCCCAAACAGAAAUUAAAAUUGAUUAAACACACAGUUACAUUGCCAAAAGCUACCUGAAAAUUGAGCAUGAAUAGCUUCAGAAGCUAGAAACGUUAUUCUAAAAAAUUUUCUUCUAAUGACAGGUUCUCUACCCCUAAGAGAUUCCAGAGAAGGAUGUCCUUGUUUGUAAAGAUGCUGAUGAGGAAAUGUAAGCAGGCUUCACUCUUGCAUUACACUUGAAACUGGAUGGUUAGAUUGCUCAAGUCAAAGCCCUAGAGGGAAUCAAUGCCUUGCUGGGGGGCAGUUCUGUCCCUGGUGAUUUUGAGAGAGUAUUAGUCUUGUCCCAGUGCAGAAUAGAAAGCCAUCUAAAGUACUGAAAACUUUUUCUAUGUUGCUAAGGAAGUCAGUACAGGGGGCAAGGACAGUGUUUUUCUUUCUUCAUUCGUCCUCCAAAUGUUUGUAAUUUCUGUGACCGCUCCCUGGGUGCAUUCUUCAUUAGUGUUUUUGCAAAAAAAAAAGUAUUAAUCUAACAUUUUCUGCAUAACAGUAACAUUUCAAAAAAACCUGAACAAUAAUUCUGUUAUUUUCUCACGGCAGUACUAGUCCCCCUCCCCGCCCAGUUAAAUUACAGGUCAUUCUGCCUGGGACGCUAUUGUGGGGGAAAACAAGUCCUCCCACAGCUGGGGCUGAGGGUCCCAGUUGUCUGAGUGGGAAUUCGUGCCACUGUCAGCCUGUCAGCUGUUAAACUGCUCCCUGACCUGAAGCUCUAGAGGGAAACCACCUUGGUGAAUCGAAGGAAUAUCACGUACCAGAGCCCCAUCACUGGACAGGCUUAACUCUUGCACUACUACAGCAUCAAGCAACUAGCUUGUUAGUAGGAAAAAUAAACCAUUCAGCUUGGAUAUCAACUGAAAAAUUGCACCAUAAUAAAGCUCAAGAUUGUUACGUGUUCUGCACAUAUAAGCAACAUCUAUCCAAAUGCUUUUUUCGUCCUACUACUUAAUUCAAUUUAUAAUAAUAUAGCAACUGCCCAGGAGCACCAACACAUUCAUAUGCAGGAAGUAAAUUAACUCAGUAAAUUACUGACAAAAAGAAACAAACCAAAUGUUUUUUUUUUUCCCUAGAAUAGCAUUCUCUCAACCAUUAUCAAACAGAUAACCUGUGUGAAAAGCUUAUACUUAAGGUGCCCUCCUUGGCUCUGCACUAUUCAUGGUACAAACCCAUGCAGUUUAUUACAGCAUACAAAGAAAAUUAUUUUUAUCUGCAAAUACUCUGUAGUAGCUCUUUCUUGCAAAUGAAUUACAGGUCAUUACCUACCAAAUAUCUGCUCACGUACGUGGCAUGUAGCCACCUUAAAAGGGACAGUGGAAGUGUGUGCCUAAUGAGGUCAUCCUGGGAAAUUCACAUAGAGUCAGGCGAGUCUGAUUAACAAGUUUACAGAAACAGGGACUGCAAGAAGACACGUCUUCACUUCUCAGGCUAGGCUGUACAGAUGGCACUUACUCCAAACUGUUCCAGUUUACGUUAGAAAGUGUUUAAUACGCAAGUUCAACCUAUUCUAUUCCCGGCUGAACAUAUUCAAGAACCUGGAGAAAACUGGUCUAAAGGGAAGUGUUAGAACAACAUUUGCAGCUUAACUUUUCACCACAGACCCUGGAAGUUAUCUUCAGACCUGCUUCUUGCAGGAAGAGUUUCAGUGAGGGUUGAGUUAAGGAUUAAACCUGAUGGGUUUCGUGUCAGGAUUCAGACCCCUAAACAUAUAGGUGUAUUAUUUUCUUCACCACAAGUGAUUUUCUUGUGGUGAUACAAGAUGCUUGCGCUCUAAUAGGCACCGAGUCAAGCUCCAACAUAACCUAAGCCAUAAGCAAUCCAUUGGAUUAGCCAUAAUAAGACAGUAGCGAGUCACCAAAACACUGACUUGAAUGGCUGCGUACGAAAGGAACCAAUCGUCUAUGUCCACAGGCUAAAGGCAGGUACGAAAAUAAUAAAAAUCACCAAAAUAAAUGCCAUUAAGUGUCCAUUUGGCUUGACCAUUCAGCUCAGUGUAUCAGGAAGCUGGAGAGAGGUAGGGGCAGCAGUUGCUGGGAGAGUGCAAGAGAAGAGGAGCUUCAUUCUGAGGAAAAAUACUGUUGGCACGUUCAAAGCUGCAGAAUGAAAGAAAGGCGUUAAGUAAGUGCCAAGCUUUCAGUGGAGUAAAAGGGAAUGGGUUACUUCAUCUCUGACAAUUGUAAACCUGACCAUAAAAUAGCAUUCUUGCAGACAGAAAAAUGUAUGGUCUGAAAGAGUUACUCAAAAGAAAGAUCAAAAGGUCCAAAGAGCUGGAUAUUACAGGAAAUCUUUGACUGCCAGUGAAGAAUCAGGGAAAAUGUUUCUAAAAUGGAAGGCACCAUCUUUCAAAUGGAACCUAACCCACUUGCAAUUUCAUUAUGCAUUGCACAUUACUUACAUUACUGAUCCAUGGUGGAGGGGACAUUAGGUGACCCAGGUAAAGUCAAGAGGAGCCAUCACAGACCUUUAAACAGUGUUGAACUGAAAAAAAGUUAAAAAAAAAGAUAAAACACAUCUGCAAUUAAAUUGUAACUCAGCUAUAACUAAGUACGCACAAAGUUAAAUGAAUUCUGGCUCAGUUUCUCAGAGAAAAUUAGAUAGUUCUGCUUAAAAAAAAAAAGGUGGGAGAAAAAAGCAUCCUUUUGCAAACGCAUUUUUCUAUUUUAUGCUUUUAACUACCGGCUCUUAAAUGGUGUCUGAAGAGGCCAGGGGGAACGCAUUAGGACCUCACCACAAGCACUGUGUUUGAACAUGGUUGUCUUGGGGAGAGGGGAAAGAAAGAUUUCCAGACUCAGUAUAGACAGAGCCUGAGGGCUGUUGGCAUAAGCACAAAGCCAGAGUAGUGAUUCAAGAAAAAUGAAAAGAAAAUGCCUUUAAAGCAGAAUUCACCGAAGAGACAUUAAACAGCAAAUGGCCGGCAGGGCCUUCAAGAGCAGCGUUUAAUAAUUAGGUCACUGCUCAGUUGCAGAGCUUUUUUGUGGACGAUGAAGGUGUUCUACAAUAAGAGUCAGAAACCUGCCGAAAGACAAUUUGCUUGCCUGUUUUAGAAACCCUCCUGGAUUCCCUGGUUCAGUUUUCACCACCGUAAUUACCAAAUGGCCGAGGCAACUGAUAUAGCAAAUUGACUGUUAACUUCCAAACCUGCUCACGGCUGGUCUUUAAGAGUUAACAGAGGAGAUCCGGGAGGCAGCAGCUGCCGGCAGAACGCCUCCGAGCAGCUCACAACAUCGUUCGGGGGAAUGAUGGACCUACCAGCAAUUUCUGUGUGCAGAGGGACACAGCGCAAUGCAAAGUUACUGGCUGCAUUUAAAAAGUCUCCCUUUCUGUGAUCAUUACUCUCCUUUCCCUGUGUCCAGGUCAGCAAAGCACUUGCACACGCAUUGUAUUUUAAAGCACAUGGCGAGGUCCUACGUGUGUUUCUGACUUGGUGUUUACAGACCCUGGCAGCUCUGUCAGAAAAUGCCAUCCAAGUGAAUAUUAGCCAGUAGUUGCACCCUGCAUCCUGAAGAGGAUUUCACAUUUGAAAGAGAAAAGAUGAGGCUGCUGCGUGCUACCAGGGAGCUACUGCAGUAGAGAUAAGCAGAGAAAUGUCAUCCGCCAACGUACAAGAUGAAGCAUGCCAGCCCCUGGAGUUUUAGUGAAUGUGUUUCCAUGUCUCUUCUUUCUUCUAGCUUAAAUUCUUUAUUAUUUUCAAAAAGGAGAGCAUGUAAGCAAUAAAAAAAUUGCUUGUGAAGGAGAGGACUUGCGUUCUCAAGGCAGCCUCUGGAUGGGUGAGAUGGCACCUCAAAGGCAGCUGGAUACAGAUUUCUAAUCAAAUCAGUCAUUAAGCUGUGUGGAGCUGGGAGCAAAUCUCAGCACAGGCUUAGGCAGGUCUGUGUGCAGCCAGCCUGGUUUUCCAGCUACUGCUUCAACUUACAGUGUCGUUUUGUUUCCCAAGAAAUGUUCUAGCAACCUAGGGGUACGGUGUGCUGGGGUGAGCAGGCUUGGGCUGUUCACCGAGCCACAGGCAGAACCCAGCCCAGGCAGAGACCUUGGCUUGCAGGACUGCCCUGUCCCUGCUGCUCUCGGGCUUUGAAGAGGCUCCUGCCACCAGCCCAGGGAGUGGAAGCAGGACUGGAGUGAGGAUUUGGGGAGCCGCGGUGGCUUGCAGGAAGGCAAGCGGGAGCUGGGAGCUGAGACCAAGACUCCUCUGACAGCCAGAGCAAGCGAGGGCUCGGCCAGGAGUCAGAGCAGCACUGGCACUGGAGUAGAAACACUUCAAGCAAAGCAUUGACACAUCAGGACGAGACCAGAUUUGCAGCCAGAAGCUCAGGCAGCCCUUAAGCAAGAGCUGAUCCAGCCAGAGCAGAGGCAUGGCAGGGUUGCCGGUCAGCUUUGGGUACCCCAAAGGCUGUGUCAGCCUCCUCAGGGGCAUCUCCAUAGCCCUUGGGAUGGACUCAAACCUCCAAGGCUGCGAAGAACCAGAGCACAGACCAAACUAUUUUCAGUCCCAUCUGUACUGCACACUGAUGUGCCUUGGUCAAAGUGACGUACAGGGAGUUGUUUUCCCAGUCUAGUGGGAACAGCACUCUUCUCUGAUGUUCCUUCUUUAGAGCAAUUAAUUUUUUUUUUCCAGUUUUAUGGUAAGGGAAAUAGAAGAAAGUGUCAAUAAACCUCAGAAACUCUUCUUUGGAAAAUGUGUUAUAGGUAUAAGGUGCUUGUGAUUUUAUAACACGUAUUUUUUUCCAGCUACAACGUGGA
Long non-coding RNA from Chroicocephalus ridibundus (black-headed gull), 5962 nucleotides. RefSeq lists it as uncharacterized. The record is from RefSeq and is a predicted model, not a curated record. Lineage: Eukaryota; Metazoa; Chordata; Aves; Charadriiformes; Laridae. The transcript is spliced from 4 exons.